This is a long non-coding RNA of Pungitius pungitius (ninespine stickleback), 408 nucleotides long. RefSeq lists it as uncharacterized. Lineage: Eukaryota; Metazoa; Chordata; Actinopteri; Perciformes; Gasterosteidae. The record is from RefSeq and is a predicted model, not a curated record. The transcript is spliced from 3 exons.
ACUGGACAUACUGGAUUUACUACUAACCACUAAACCAACACACAAAGGAGCAAACACCCACUCACAGCGAUGUCAAAUCAUGUGUUUGGACAGACAGAAACACAGAUUAACAUUCAGCAGAACGAUGAAGGAGUGGAGUAAUUCAGAGAGCAGGUGCAAAACAGCUGCACCUACCACCCAAGCCCAAGUGACGCGUAACCAUGACACCUACCACAAAUUAUAAGGGAUAUUAGCAAGGAAAAGAUGGCAAGCUCAUCGGGGACACUCUCAAAAGACAAGACACGGAAUCAGAGGUAAUGGGAGAAUGAUUUUGCUCCAAUGUGAGUAAAGAAAGAGGAAUGAAACAUUUCAAAAGCUUCACCACCUAACCACCACUAUAUAUAACAUACUACUGACAAUCCAGAGGAA